AGGAGGAACAUAUUUACUAGUUAUAUCAUCUGCAAUUGCCUGAAUCUCAAGACGUUCUUCGAACCAAUCAUAGAUUUUACUCAUAUUCCGGAAAUACAAGAAAAAAAUAAAUUCCACGGUCGAACUACCAAAAUAGAAUGGGAUAAAAACCAGAAAACUAAAUGCAAUGUUUCACUUUGUAUUGAAAAAGCUAGUUAAUGGUUCUUGUAAAUCUAAUUCAUUGAAAUUCCAUCCAGUAAAAUGGACGAAUUAUAAAUCU
RNA transcript from Fragaria vesca subsp. vesca, 259 nucleotides. RefSeq lists it as uncharacterized. The transcript is spliced from 2 exons. NCBI's taxonomy places the organism in Eukaryota, Viridiplantae, Streptophyta, Magnoliopsida, Rosales, Rosaceae. The record is from RefSeq and is a predicted model, not a curated record.